CUGAUCGUGGACAGGAGUUCCGGCCAGUCGCAAUGGUCGGAGACGACGAGCGGCAGUUCGACACCGCCCUGUUUGGC
Molecule: transfer RNA, 77 nt
Filed under: compost metagenome
Description: tRNA-Ala
Source: RNAcentral